UACGUAGGGUGCGAGCGUUGUCCGGAAUUAUUGGGCGUAAAGAGCUUGUAGGCGGUUUGUCGCGUCUGCUGUGAAAAUCCGGGGCUCAACCCCGGACUUGCAGUGGGUACGGGCAGACUAGAGUGUGGUAGGGGAGACUGGAAUUCCUGGUGUAGCGGUGGAAUGCGCAGAUAUCAGGAGGAACACCGAUGGCGAAGGCAGCUCGCUGGGACGGUACUGACGCUGAGGCGCGAAAGCGUGGGGAGCAAACAGG
RNAcentral lists this ribosomal RNA (253 nucleotides) under uncultured bacterium. Its description in RNAcentral is "partial 16S ribosomal RNA". It matches the Rfam family "Bacterial small subunit ribosomal RNA", at positions 524 to 776 of the family's 1533-position model. The record is from RNAcentral.